Molecule: ribosomal RNA, 251 nt
Filed under: Cladonia firma
Lineage: Eukaryota; Fungi; Ascomycota; Lecanoromycetes; Lecanorales; Cladoniaceae
Description: partial 18S ribosomal RNA
Source: RNAcentral
UAGGUAUAGGUUUGCCUGCCGAAGCCCUUAGCCAGCGACUCUAAACAACUUUGCUAGAGUCGCCCCUUUUGGGGCUGGCGACGCCAUCAAUCUGUGUCUGGAAGUUCCCUCUAGGGGGGAAUACUACCAGCAGCUCGUCACAUUCGAGUUCACAGGUCAAACGAUUGCGGCCAUUUCGGUGGUUAAGAUAUGAUCGGCCGUCAGCUGUCAUCUAGCUGGCGAGAUUUGCGGAACCUGCGGAAGGAUCAUUA